Molecule: ribosomal RNA, 433 nt
Filed under: uncultured bacterium
Lineage: Bacteria
Description: partial 16S ribosomal RNA
Rfam family: Bacterial small subunit ribosomal RNA
Source: RNAcentral
AACGAACGCUGGCGGCAUGCCUAACACAUGCAAGUCGAACGAGGCCUUCGGGUCUAGUGGCGCACGGGUGCGUAACGCGUGGGAACCUGCCCUUAGGUUCGGAAUAACUCCCCGAAAGGGGUGCUAAUACCGGAUAAUGUCUUCGGACCAAAGAUUUAUCGCCUUUGGAUGGGCCCGCGUUGGAUUAGCUAGUUGGUAGGGUAAAAGCCUACCAAGGCGACGAUCCAUAGCUGGUCUGAGAGGAUGAUCAGCCACACUGGGACUGAGACACGGCCCAGACUCCUACGGGAGGCAGCAGUGGGGAAUAUUGGACAAUGGGCGAAAGCCUGAUCCGGCAAUGCCGCGUGAGUGAUGAAGGCCUUAGGGUUGUAAAGCUCUUUUACCCGGGAUGAUAAUGACAGUACCGGGAGAAUAAGCGCCGGCUAACUCCGUG